Molecule: long non-coding RNA, 715 nt
Filed under: Rattus norvegicus (Norway rat)
Lineage: Eukaryota; Metazoa; Chordata; Mammalia; Rodentia; Muridae
Description: long non-coding RNA NONRATT029926
Source: RNAcentral
UUGCUGCUUACUGAUUUUCAAUUGAUCCAUUUUUCAGCUUGAACACACUCGGCUGCGAACACAGUCAUGGUAGGGGUUUCUAUAGUAACUCAUCAUCCCGACCUGGUACAGGCAGCCACAGGCAGUGUGGCACAUCAGUCCACCCACACAGCAGCCACGGCAGCAAAAACUCAGCUGACGUGGACAACGUCAGAACCAGAAACAGCUCCAGUAUGUCGAGCAGGACUUCUCCACAAGCAGCCACCUCACAGUCUACAAGCAAAACAAGCCCCCUAGUCUCAGAGGCAGCUGCAGCAACCCAGGGUCACACAGCAAGCAGGAAGUCCAAAGGGGCAAAACAGGGCCAGCACAACAGCCAGCACCACAGCCACAGCCCACUGGAGCAGCACUCCCAGCCUCCACCACCAGUGCCUCAGCACCAGGAGCCACCACCUGAAAGGCUGUCCCCUGCCCCCCUCACACACCCUCCCCACCCCGAGCGAGCCAGCACCACACGGCACAGCUCAGAGGACUCCGACAUCACCAGCCUCAUAGAAGCCAUGGACAAAGACUUCGAGCACCAUGACUCCCCAUCCCUAGACGUGUUUACAGAGCAGCCUCCGUCACCACUGUCAAAAAACAAAGGGAAAGGAAAGUCUCUCCAGCAACGCAAGGCCAAGCCUCCCAAGAAGCAGGAGGAGAAGGAGAAGAGGGGAAAGGGGAAGCCUCAGGAGGA